UCUUGCUCUGUCACCCAGGCUGUAGUCCAGUGGUGUGAUCUCAGGGCUUCUCACCAAGGCCAAGAUGGACCAGAUACUACAUGGCCUAGACAAGGUGACUGAGGAGUGUGCCCAGGGCACCUUCAAACUCAACUCCAAUGAUGAGGACAUCCACACAGCCAGUGAGCGCCGCCUGAAGGUACGACCCAUGGAGCCCCACCGCUUUCCUGGCCUCCCCUCUCCACGUUGCCCGGGGCAUCAUUCUGUUUACUUCGUCAUUGGCAGACAGCAGACCUUUUGCCUGAGCAAAGCAUAA
RNAcentral lists this long non-coding RNA (295 nucleotides) under Rhinopithecus bieti (black snub-nosed monkey). Its description in RNAcentral is "lncRNA (ENSRBIG00000045589.1)". Lineage: Eukaryota; Metazoa; Chordata; Mammalia; Primates; Cercopithecidae. The record is from RNAcentral.